Molecule: non-coding RNA, 476 nt
Organism: Dermacentor albipictus
Lineage: Eukaryota; Metazoa; Arthropoda; Arachnida; Ixodida; Ixodidae
Source: RefSeq, a predicted model, not a curated record
CGCACACCUAUUGUUCACGGCGUAAUGCUGAAGAAACAACUUGUCCGGCUAUGCUUCUGUGAGUGCUCUGAGUUCCUCCACACUCCGUGACUGCGAGCAUCACGAAUAUCACGAAAGGAAGACAUCCUAUAUAUCUACGAAGCGACAAGGAGCUGGUGCCGACGAUGGAUCUUGCCACCAACGGGGUGGAGACAUCGACAAACUACAUAUAAGCCACCGGCGCGAACUAGAAACUAGCACCACGCCGCCGCCGGUCGAAGGUGGCAUGGCGCACGCCUAUACCGUCGUCGCCCCGAACGCCUGCGCAUACGCAAUGGCAGCAAAGGCAGCGUGCCUUCUGUCCACGUCAAUUUGAAUUCUCAAUGGCUGUGCCAGUGGCCAGGCAGGCAGCUCGUUGCGUCGUCCUCAAUUUGAGUAGAACUCUUUUCGCAAGCCUCCAGGUUGCUGCCCCGUAGGUGAGUACAGGUAAGACACAG